Molecule: ribosomal RNA, 494 nt
Filed under: uncultured bacterium
Lineage: Bacteria
Description: partial 16S ribosomal RNA
Rfam family: Bacterial small subunit ribosomal RNA
Source: RNAcentral
GACGAACGCUGGCGGCGCGCUUAACACAUGCAAGUCGAACGGAAAGGCCUGCUUUCCCUUGUGGAUUGCGGGUACUCGAGUGGCGAACGGGUGAGUAGCACGUGAGUGAUCUGCCCCCAACUUGGGUAUAAGCCUGGGAAACUGGGUCUAAUUCCCGAUAGGACUGCAGGGUGGUGCCUGUGGUGGAAAACGAUUUUCUAGUGGUUGGGGAUGAGCUCGCGGCCUAUCAGCUUGUUGGUGGGGUAAUGGCCUACCAAGGCGGCGACGGGUAGCCGGCCUGAGAGGGUGGACGGCCACAUUGGGACUGAGAUACGGCCCAGACUCCUACGGGAGGCAGCAGUGGGGAAUAUUGCACAGUGGGCGGAAGCCUGAUGCAGCGACGCCGCGUGGGGGAUGACGGCCUUCGGGUUGUAAACUCCUUUCGACCGCGAGGAAGCCACCUGGUUGGAAGGGUGGUGACGGUAGUGGUAGAAGAAGCACCGGCUAACUACGUG